RNAcentral lists this ribosomal RNA (762 nucleotides) under Neoromicia cf. anchietae ES-2022. RNAcentral describes it as "partial small subunit ribosomal RNA". It matches the Rfam family "Bacterial small subunit ribosomal RNA", at positions 284 to 1416 of the family's 1533-position model. Lineage: Eukaryota; Metazoa; Chordata; Mammalia; Chiroptera; Vespertilionidae. The record is from RNAcentral.
AGCUGGUAUCAAGCACACUCCAAAGUAGCUCAUAACACCUUCUAAGCCACACCCCCACGGGAAACAGCAGUGAUAAAAAUUAAGCAAUAAAUGAAAGUUUGACUAAGUUACACUAGUAUUUAGGGCUGGUAAAUUUCGUGCCAGCCACCGCGGUCAUACGAUUAGCCCAAACUAAUAGAUGGUCGGCGUAAAGUGUGUUUUAGAGUACAAUUAAAAAUAAAGCCAAAUUUUAACCAAGCUGUAAAAAGCCCUGGUUACUGUAAGAUAUAUAACGAAAGUAGCUUUAAAACUUCUGACUACACAAUAGCUAAGACCCAAACUGGGAUUAGAUACCCCACUAUGCUUAGCCCUAAACAUAGAAAAUUAUCAACAAAAUUAUUCGCCAGAGUACUACCAGCAAAAGCUAGAAACUCAAAGGACUUGGCGGUGCCUUAUAUCCUUCUAGAGGAGCCUGUUCCAUAAUCGAUAAACCCCGAUAAACCCAACCAACCCUUGCUAAGUCAGCCUAUAUACCGCCAUCUUCAGCAAACCCUAAAAAGGAAGCACAGUAAGCACAAAUAUCAACAUAAAUACGUUAGGUCAAGGUGUAGCCUAUGGGUUGGAGAGAAAUGGGCUACAUUUCCCUAACCAUGGACAUAUUACGAAAAUUUAUGUGAAACCAUUAAUUAAAGGUGGAUUUAGCAGUAAAUUAAGAAUAAAGCGCUUAAUUGAAUAAGGCCAUGAGGCACGCACACACCGCCCGUCACCCUCUUCAAGCAAUAA